CAAACGGCCCUUUUUAGGGCCACCAUAAGACUUAUACCGAGGAAC
This is a non-coding RNA of Solenopsis invicta (red fire ant), 45 nucleotides long. The record is from Rfam. NCBI's taxonomy places the organism in Eukaryota, Metazoa, Arthropoda, Insecta, Hymenoptera, Formicidae.